CCUGCCAUUGCACUAUCCAGUAAUCUACUGGCUGCUGCAAUCCAGUGGUGAGCUGAAACUAAGCCCAGCUUAGGAAGCAGGCCUUUUCUGAAAUCAGUGCAUAACC
This 106-nucleotide small nucleolar RNA is filed under the name Sorex araneus (European shrew). RNAcentral's name for it is "Small nucleolar RNA SNORA65 (ENSSARG00000018873.1)". Lineage: Eukaryota; Metazoa; Chordata; Mammalia; Eulipotyphla; Soricidae. The record is from RNAcentral.